Small nuclear RNA from Nycticebus coucang (slow loris), 124 nucleotides. RefSeq annotates it as U4atac minor spliceosomal RNA. The transcript has a single exon. The record is from RefSeq and is a predicted model, not a curated record. NCBI's taxonomy places the organism in Eukaryota, Metazoa, Chordata, Mammalia, Primates, Lorisidae.
ACCAUCCUUUCUUGGGAUUGCACUGCUGUCCAAUGACCACAUAGCGAGGGCCACACUGCUAAUACCCACACAACACAUCCACCCAACUAGAGCUUUGCUUUACAUUGGUGCAAUUUUUGGAAAA